AUACAUGAGCAAAAUCUCAACUUUAUUAGAAGAGACGCAUUUAUUAGAUAAAAAGCCAGUUCAUGCUUUUACAGUAUGAAAAUUGGUGAUUUAUAAUAACCUAGCAAAUCGCAAAGUGAAAACAGGCGAUAAAUCAUUCAAGUUUCUGACCUAUCAGCUUUCGACGGUAUGGUAUUGGCUUACCGUGGCAGUGACGGUUAACGGGGGAUUAGGGUUCGAUUCCGGAGAGGGAGCCUGAGAAACGGCUACCACAUCUAAGGAAGGCAGCAGGCGCGCAAAUUACCCAAUUCUAACAGUUUGAGAGAGGUAGUAACAAGAAAUAACAAUACAAGGCAGUUAAAAUGCUUUGUAAUUGAAAUGAUAGAAAUUUAAACCCUUUUUAAAGUAUCAAUUGGAGGGCAAGUCUGGUGCCAGCAGCCGCGGUAAUUCCAGCUCCAAUAGCGUAUAUUAAAAUUGUUGCAGUUAAAAAGCUCGUAGUUGAAGUUCUGCUGAAAGUAACCGGUCUGCUUUUAAUAAAAGUGGUAUCUUGGUAUGUAUUUAGCAAUGAUGUCCUUUGAAGUGUUUUUUACUUUAUUGUAAUAAAGCAUAUUCAGGACUUUUACUUUGAGAAAAUUAGAGUGUUUCUAGCAGGCUGACGCUUUGAAUACUGCAGCAUGGAAUAAUAAG
Molecule: ribosomal RNA, 666 nt
Filed under: Hepatozoon canis
Lineage: Eukaryota; Apicomplexa; Hepatozoidae
Description: SSU rRNA
Rfam family: Eukaryotic small subunit ribosomal RNA
Source: RNAcentral